GACGAACGCUGGCGGCGUGCUUAACACAUGCAAGUCGAACGGGAUUUAGUAGACAGAAGCCUCUGCUAAAGAUUACUAAUGAGAGUUGCGACCGGGUGAGUAACGCGUGAGCAACCUGCCUAUGACAGUGGGAUAGCCUCGGGAAACCGGGAUUAAUACCGCAUAAAAUCGUAGAAACACAUGUUUUAACGGUCAAAGAUUUAUCGGUCAUAGAUGGGCUCGCGUCUGAUUAGCUAGUUGGUGAGAUAACAGCCCACCAAGGAGACGAUCAGUAGCCGGUCUGAGAGGAUGAACGGCCACAUUGGAAAUGAGACACGGUCCAAACUCCUACGGGAGGGAGCAGUGGGGAAUAUUGCACAAUGGGGGAAACCCUGAUGAAGCGACGCCGCGUGAACGAAGAAGGUAUUCGUAUCGUAAAGUUCUGUCCGAUGGGAAGAGAAUGACAGUACCAUAGAAGAAAGCUCCGGCUAAAUACGUG
RNAcentral lists this ribosomal RNA (478 nucleotides) under uncultured bacterium. Its description in RNAcentral is "partial 16S ribosomal RNA". It matches the Rfam family "Bacterial small subunit ribosomal RNA", at positions 28 to 507 of the family's 1533-position model. The record is from RNAcentral.